RNAcentral lists this ribosomal RNA (292 nucleotides) under Nematoda environmental sample. RNAcentral's name for it is "partial 18S rRNA". It matches the Rfam family "Eukaryotic small subunit ribosomal RNA", at positions 1020 to 1312 of the family's 1831-position model. Lineage: Eukaryota; Metazoa; Nematoda. The record is from RNAcentral.
CUAGUUCUAACCGUAAACGAUGACAACCAGCGAUUAGUCGGCGUUAAUAUAUGACCCGACUAGCAGCUUCCGGGAAACCAAAGUUUUUCGUUUCCGGGGGAAGUAUGGUUGCAAAGCUGAAACUUAAAGGAAUUGACGGAAGGGCACCACCAGGAGUGGAGCCUGCGGCUUAAUUUGACUCAACACGGGAAAACUCACCCGGCCCGGACACCGUAAGGAUUGACAGACUGAGAGCUCUUUCUUAAUUCGGUGGGUGGUGGUGCAUGGCCGUUCUUAGUUGGUGGAGCGAUUU